Molecule: ribosomal RNA, 253 nt
Filed under: uncultured bacterium
Lineage: Bacteria
Description: partial 16S ribosomal RNA
Rfam family: Bacterial small subunit ribosomal RNA
Source: RNAcentral
UACAGAGGUCCCAAGCGUUGUUCGGAUUCACUGGGCGUAAAGGGUGCGUAGGUGGUGGGGUAAGUCGGAUGUGAAAGCUCGGAGCUCAACUCCGAAAUGGCAUUGGAAACUACCCUGCUAGAGGAUUGGAGGGGGGACUGGAAUACUUGGUGUAGCAGUGAAAUGCGUAGAUAUCAAGUGGAACACCAGUGGCGAAAGCGACUUCCUGGACCAAUACUGACGCUCAUGUGCGAAAGCGUGGGGAGCAAACAGG